This 1240-nucleotide long non-coding RNA is filed under the name Pan troglodytes (chimpanzee). RNAcentral's name for it is "long non-coding RNA NONPTRT008903". The record is from RNAcentral. Lineage: Eukaryota; Metazoa; Chordata; Mammalia; Primates; Hominidae.
AGAGGGCUUUAUUUUUCCAGAGUUCUGGAGGCUGGGAAGUUCAACAUCAAAACAUCAGUAGGUUCAGUUGUCUGUUGAGGGCUCAUGUCUGUUUCCAAGAUGAUGCCUUCAUGCUGCAUCUUUUGGAAGGGAGGAGCAUUGUGUCCUCACAGAGCAGAAAAUAGAAGGGCCACAGGACAAACUCCCUCUAUCAAGCCUUUUCAUAAGGGCACCUGAUCCCAUUCGCAAAGCUCUAUCUUCGUGACUUGACUUAAUCACUUCCCAAAGGUCCCACCUCCUAAUACUUACACUGUUUCAACAGUAAACAGUUUAUGUAGAGUUUCAACAUAAAUUAAGGAGGGGACAAAACAUCCAAACCAAGGAAGGCUGGGAGGGCAGCCAGAGGGAAAGUGCAAGAGGAGGUUUGGUGGAGGUGUCCUAGAUUGUUUGCAGUCCAAGGAGGUUGGGGAGAGUGUCAGUAACAGGCCUGCCUUGGUAUCCCUGCUCUGCAGUCACUGGCUAAGAGCAGUCCUUAGAAAGCACAGCCUGGCACAAAUACAACAAGAAUAUGUGCUCAGUAGGAAAGAGACCACAUUUCCCCAAUAGCCCAGGUAAUGCCCUCCCCUCAACUGGCAUCUCUGUUCCCUAAACAUUGACCUCUUUUCUCUGAAUCUCUUGGGGACACAUGGGUUGAAUUCAGGUUCUCUGUAGCCCUCUGGAUUCUGUCUGCCUCUGUUAUAUCUUCACGAACAAGUUACGCAGCCUCAACUAAAGCUUGUAACAGAGCAAAGUUACUCUCCUGAGUGUGUCCUCUGAUGGAUGGUGAGAUAUAACUUCAAGAUGAAGCCUCACCCACACUCCCUGUACAAAAACGCUUCUCACCUGUGUCACUCUGGAAGCUUUGAUCAGAAAAUUGUAGUUGCUGUUGCCUCUGAUGUGCAAGUCCAAGAUUCUUGGGCCGCAGGACAUGUUCUGCAUAUAUUCCUGGAGAAUAGACCAACAAUGAGACUGAAUCAGUAACGAAAAGUCUUCUAUGAAAGAAAAACCCAGAACCAGAUUGCUUUACUGCUUAAUUCUAAUAAACUCAUAAAGAACAACAAACACCAAUUCUUCUCAAACUAUUCCAAAAAAAUUGAAGCAGGGCAGGGAGGAAUUCUUCCUAACUCAUUCUAAAAGGCCAGCAUUAUCCUGAUACCAAAACCAGACAAGGACACAGCAAAAACAGAGAACUACAGGCCAAUAUCCCUGAUGAUGCUAAAUG